UCGAACGGAGAAUUGCUAGCUUGCUAAUAAUUCUCUAGUGGCGCACGGGUGAGUAACACGUGAGUACCUGCCCCCGAGAGCGGGAUAGCCCUGGGAAACUGGGAUUAAUACCGCAUAGUGAAAUAAAGCAGCAAUGCGCUUGGGGAUGGGCUCGCGGCCUAUUAGUUAGUUGGUGAGGUAACGGCUCACCAAGGCGAUGACGGGUAGCCGGUCUGAGAGGAUGUCCGGCCACACUGGAACUGAGACACGGUCCAGACACCUACGGGUGGCAGCAGUCGAGAAUCAUUCACAAUGGGGGAAACCCUGAUGGUGCGACGCCGCGUGGGGGAUAAGGUCUUCGGAUUGUAAACCCCUGUCAUGUGGGACAUUAAAAAGAUAGUACCACAAGAGGAAGAGACGGCUAACUCUGUGCCAGCAGCCGCGGUAAUACAGAGGUCUCAAGCGUUGUUCGGAAUCACUGGGCGUAAAGCGUGCGUAGGCUGUUUCGUAAGUCGUGUGUGAAAGGCGCGGGCUCAACCCGCGGACGGCACAUGAUACUGCGAGACUAGAGUAAUGGAGGGGGAACCGGAAUUCUCGGUGUAGCAGUGAAAUGCGUAGAUAUCGAGAGGAACACUCGUGGCGAAGGCGGGUUCCUGGACAUUAACUGACGCUGAGGCACGAAGGCCAGGGGAGCGAAAGGGAUUAGAUACCCCUGUAGUCCUGGCAGUAAACG
This 712-nucleotide ribosomal RNA is filed under the name uncultured bacterium. RNAcentral's name for it is "bacterial SSU rRNA". It matches the Rfam family "Bacterial small subunit ribosomal RNA", at positions 62 to 808 of the family's 1533-position model. The record is from RNAcentral.